AGAAAGCAUCAUCAAACUACUUGAAAUCGGCUGGUUUAGAAAGCUAUGAGUGCUGUAUGAAUAAGAUGAUACAGAGAACAAGAAGUACCCAGGAUACACUUUCUCAUAAUUUCAAGUGAAAGAAAGGAAGUUUGGCAAUGGUUAAAUGCAUAUCGAAAUGUGCCAUAUGGUGUCAUCUAAAACUGUAGAGGUCAAACCAAAACAACAAGAGAAAAUGGAAAGACAGAUAAGGCAACACAAGGGGAAUAAAAUAACAAAGAGAUACAAUUAUAAUAGGUUGGUGUUUCUAGUAAUUGAGUAUAUGGCAAAACAUAUAGUUUGGUCAUUCAUACAAUACACAGAUGCAUUGGAAAAAGUGUUAUAAUAAUAUAUGCUAAUCACUAAAUAUGAGAAAAAUAAAAAGCAAAGGCCCAAGUAAUGAAGGCUUGCUUAAGAACCAAUAAUAAUAUAGUUGUGCCCAGAAUGGACACUGAGUAAUAUUAAAAAGAACCAUGUAAUCAAUCCAUUUGAAUAGGAAUUAGACUUUACUGAGCUGAGAAUCCAAAUAAUUAUCUAGAAAUUA
This 562-nucleotide unclassified non-coding RNA is filed under the name Hevea brasiliensis (rubber tree). Lineage: Eukaryota; Viridiplantae; Streptophyta; Magnoliopsida; Malpighiales; Euphorbiaceae. The record is from RNAcentral.